Molecule: ribosomal RNA, 163 nt
Filed under: uncultured bacterium
Lineage: Bacteria
Description: partial 16S rRNA
Rfam family: Bacterial small subunit ribosomal RNA
Source: RNAcentral
UAGGGAAUCUUCCACAAUGGACGCAAGUCUGAUGGAGCAACGCCGCGUGAGUGAAGAAGGGUUUCGGCUCGUAAAGCUCUGUUGUUAAGAAGAACGUGGGUAAGAGUAACUGUUUACCCAGUGACGGUAUUUAACCAGAAAGCCACGGCUAACUACGUACCAG